CCAGUAGUGUAUGCUUCUCCUAAAGACUAAGCCAUGCAUGUCUCGAAUAGAAGAGCAAUUCUCUCUGAAUCUGCGAACGGCUCCGCACACCAGUUGCAAACCACAGCAAGUCCGUCGAGGCUGGGGGGGACUCGUCCCUUCCAGUAGUAGACUAUAAGGAUAUCCCUGGUAAUUCUGAGGCUAAUACUUGACCGUACGCCAUGGUCGACCGGUUUUGCCGGGAGGCUGUGGAACGUGUGAAGGCAGGUCGCAACAAAUUACAGGGAACUGAUGCACGUUCAAACCACUUCCAGAUAGGCAGUCCCUUCUUCGGGAGGGAGUCCCCGUUCGGGUGGGCCUUGCAAGGUGCUUCUGACCUAUCAACUAGAUGGCAGCGUAAUGGACAUGCUAUGGUUACAACGGGUACAGAGGAUAAGGGUUCGAUCCUGGAGAGUGGGCCUGAGAGAUUGCUCACACUUCUAAGGAAGGCAGCAGGCGCGUAACGUUCCCAUUGGGCACUGCCCGAGGGCGUUAGGGGACAUAUGAAUGCCUGCCAUAUGGUGGGCAAUUCA
RNAcentral lists this ribosomal RNA (551 nucleotides) under Fuligo septica. RNAcentral describes it as "SSU rRNA". It matches the Rfam family "Eukaryotic small subunit ribosomal RNA", at positions 17 to 512 of the family's 1831-position model. The record is from RNAcentral. Lineage: Eukaryota; Evosea; Eumycetozoa; Physariida; Physaraceae.